Molecule: non-coding RNA, 194 nt
Organism: Arachis ipaensis
Lineage: Eukaryota; Viridiplantae; Streptophyta; Magnoliopsida; Fabales; Fabaceae
Source: RefSeq, a predicted model, not a curated record
CAGAGAUAUGAAAAUCCUCUUCACUACAUUUUGAUGACAAUAAAGCACAAAAUAGUAGCCAAUAACGUAUAUUUGAUGGAUUGCUGCUGGUUGUUGACUUGCUUAUUUCAUUGUUGCUGCCUUGCUGGUUGUUCUAUUGAAUUACUGAAACUUGUUCAUCAGCAGUCCUUUUUCAGCCUGAAUCAGAUUUUUGC